GACGAACGCUGGCGGCGUGCCUAAUACAUGCAAGUUGAGCGCUGAAGGUUGGUACUUGUACCAACUGGAUGAGCAGCGAACGGGUGAGUAACGCGUGGGGAAUCUGCCUUUGAGCGGGGGACAACAUUUGGAAACGAAUGCUAAUACCGCAUAAAAACUUUAAACACAAGUUUUAAGUUUGAAAGAUGCAAUUGCAUCACUCAAAGAUGAUCCCGCGUUGUAUUAGCUAGUUGGUGAGGUAAAGGCUCACCAAGGCGAUGAUACAUAGCCGACCUGAGAGGGUGGUCGGCCACAUUGGGACUGGGACACGGCCCAAACUCCUACGGGAGGCAGCAGUAGGGAAUCUUCGGCAAUGGACGAAAGUCUGACCGAGCAACGCCGCGUGAGUGAAGAAGGUUUUCGGAUCGUAAAACUCUGUUGGUAGAGAAGAACGUUGGUGAGAGUGGAAAGCUCAUCAAGUGACGGUAACUACCCAGAAAGGGACGGCUAACUACGUG
This 497-nucleotide ribosomal RNA is filed under the name uncultured bacterium. RNAcentral describes it as "partial 16S ribosomal RNA". It matches the Rfam family "Bacterial small subunit ribosomal RNA", at positions 28 to 507 of the family's 1533-position model. The record is from RNAcentral.